This 253-nucleotide ribosomal RNA is filed under the name uncultured bacterium. RNAcentral describes it as "partial 16S ribosomal RNA". It matches the Rfam family "Bacterial small subunit ribosomal RNA", at positions 524 to 776 of the family's 1533-position model. The record is from RNAcentral.
UACGGAGGAUGCGAGCGUUAUCCGGAUUUACUGGGUGUAAAGGGCGUGUAGGCGGGGACGCAAGUCAGAUGUGAAAACCACGGGCUCAACCUGUGGCCUGCAUUUGAAACUGUGUUUCUUGAGUACUGGAGAGGCAGACGGAAUUCCUAGUGUAGCGGUGAAAUGCGUAGAUAUUAGGAGGAACACCAGUGGCGAAGGCGGUCUGCUGGACAGCAACUGACGCUGAGGCGCGAAAGCGUGGGGAGCAAACAGG